Molecule: long non-coding RNA, 749 nt
Organism: Calypte anna (Anna's hummingbird)
Lineage: Eukaryota; Metazoa; Chordata; Aves; Apodiformes; Trochilidae
Exons: 3
Source: RefSeq, a predicted model, not a curated record
CCUCAUCCCGCUCCUCGGGCCCCCGCGAGAGCGCGGAGAUGCCGGGGUUGGUGCUGGCGGGCGGGCGGCACAGGGCUGGGGGCGGCGGUGAAGGAGGGAGGACGGAAGAGAGAGGAGGAAGGAAGAAGGAAGGAAGAGGGAGGAGGACUACGGCUCCCAUCGGGGCCGGCGGAGAUUAACAUCGGAUGAGCACAUGGAGUUCCAGACGCUGAUCCUUGGAGAAUCCACGUGUGACAGAGAGGAUGGAGAUAAUCUUUUGGCUCAGUUCCAGCCUGGUGGAGCCUGCGCAUGGUUGUUUCAGGCUGAUGUACAGAAAGGACAGGAUUUUCUUUGCAACUAAAUUGGACUGAGUCUUCUUUUCCACCCAAACCAGAUGGUAAGUGAUUCAGUUCGUUUAGCAGCAGAAAAAUGAUUUGUUUUAUUUUCUCAGUAGCUGGUGUGAAUGUACCUUUCUUUAUCUUUAUUUACAUAUUAUGUAAACACACUUUACCAGCAUUUAUGUACAUGGUUUACAUUCCUAGUCCUGCACAGAGCCCUGUAUAGGCAAGGCCUUGCACAUAGAAGGAGUUAGCAUUGCUUAUGAAGAGCUGUUUGCAUGGAACUGAUGGUAGGGUUGUAAUCAAUUUGUAUUGUUAUUUAUAUGCUGAAAUUUAUAUGCUGAAAUUUGAAUACUUGCACUGUACAAGGAUGCCAGCAGAGCUGUAAGUCCACCAAACAGUUUACUGAGCACUUUACUUUUUUUCACCCAA